This 253-nucleotide ribosomal RNA is filed under the name uncultured bacterium. RNAcentral's name for it is "partial 16S ribosomal RNA". It matches the Rfam family "Bacterial small subunit ribosomal RNA", at positions 524 to 776 of the family's 1533-position model. The record is from RNAcentral.
UACGGGGGGGGUAAGCGUUGUUCGGAAUUACUGGGCGUAAAGGGCUCGUAGGCGGCCAACUAAGUCAUACGUGAAAUCCCUCAGCUUAACUGGGGAACUGCGUGUGAUACUGGAUGGCUUGGAUUUGGGAGAGGGAUGCGGAAUUCCAGGUGUAGCGGUGAAAUGCGUAGAUAUCUGGAGGAACACCGGUGGCGAAGGCGGCAUCCUGGACCAAUAUUGACGCUGAGGAGCGAAAGCCAGGGGAGCGAACGGG